GUAGUUAGAAUGUGUAGUGUAGCGGUGAAAUGCAUAGAUAUUACACAGAAUACCGAUUGCGAAGGCAGAUUACUAACAAUAUACUGACGCUGAGGGACGAAAGCGUGGGUAGCGAACAGGAUUAGAUACCGUGGUAGUCCACGCCGUAAACGAUGGAUACUAGCUGUUCGACCAACAUUGGUUGGUUGAGUGGCUAAGCGAAAGUGAUA
This 209-nucleotide ribosomal RNA is filed under the name uncultured bacterium. RNAcentral's name for it is "partial 16S ribosomal RNA". It matches the Rfam family "Bacterial small subunit ribosomal RNA", at positions 657 to 862 of the family's 1533-position model. The record is from RNAcentral.